This 313-nucleotide ribosomal RNA is filed under the name uncultured eukaryote. RNAcentral's name for it is "partial 18S ribosomal RNA". It matches the Rfam family "Eukaryotic small subunit ribosomal RNA", at positions 1470 to 1796 of the family's 1831-position model. The record is from RNAcentral.
CCCUUAGAUGUCCUGGGCCGCACGCGCGCUACACUGAGUGUCUGAGAUAUGAGGCAUGCCUGGUCCGGCAAGGUCUAGGUAAUCACGAAAAGGCACAUCAUGCUUGGGAUUGAUUAUUGCAAAUUUUAAUCAUGAACGAGGAAUUCCUAGUAAGUGCAAGUCAACAGCUUGCGUUGAUUACGUCCCUGCCCUUUGUACACACCGCCCGUCGCUACUACCGAUUGAAUGGUUUAGUGAGGCCUUCGGAUCCGCGACUCGUUUUGUGGAGAAGUUGGACAAACUCAGUCAUUUAGAGGAAGUAAAAGUCGUAACA